RNAcentral lists this ribosomal RNA (253 nucleotides) under uncultured bacterium. RNAcentral describes it as "partial 16S ribosomal RNA". It matches the Rfam family "Bacterial small subunit ribosomal RNA", at positions 524 to 776 of the family's 1533-position model. The record is from RNAcentral.
UACGUAGGGGGCAAGCGUUGUCCGGAUUUAUUGGGCGUAAAGCGCGUGUAGGUGGCCAAGUAGGUCAGCUGUGAAAACUUGAGGCUCAACCUCAAGCUGUCGGUUGAAACCACUUGGCUAGAGUCCGGAAGAGGAGAGUGGAAUUCCUGGUGUAGCGGUGAAAUGCGCAGAUAUCAGGAAGAACACCAAUGGCGAAGGCAGCUCUCUGGGACGGUACUGACACUGAGACGCGAAAGCGUGGGGAGCGAACAGG